Xiphophorus couchianus (Monterrey platyfish) is the source of this 349-nucleotide long non-coding RNA. RefSeq lists it as uncharacterized. The transcript has 2 exons. Lineage: Eukaryota; Metazoa; Chordata; Actinopteri; Cyprinodontiformes; Poeciliidae. The record is from RefSeq and is a predicted model, not a curated record.
ACAAUUAUUUAAAUUUCACUCUUUGCUCAGCACAAAACCCCUCCUCUCUUCUUUUAGCUUGGACCCAGAACUGUCUCCUUCAAACCAAUGUCCUGUCAGUUUGGCUCCAGGCAGUGUAAUGUUCAACCAAUCGGCUGCUGCUGAGUGGAGCUGGAAUUUCACCUGGAGGGGAGCAGCACUCUGCAGAGGAUGUCAUUGACUGAGAUUGUCAGGACAUCUACAUACAGUAUUAAAAGGAGAGACAAACAACUUUCUGCUUGGAGUUGGGAAAAUGUCACCAGGCACUUUUUGUGAUUGUGUCCGAUCUAAAUAUAGAGUUCUGCUGUCUGUUCUACAUUUUUGAACCAUU